This 738-nucleotide long non-coding RNA is filed under the name Bos taurus (domestic cattle). RNAcentral describes it as "long non-coding RNA NONBTAT019424". Lineage: Eukaryota; Metazoa; Chordata; Mammalia; Artiodactyla; Bovidae. The record is from RNAcentral.
UGAGUCUGAAAAAGUAGCAAUCACAGGAUGGAAGUAAGACCCCACAUAUAUGAGUCUCAGAAUUGUAAACAACGAUAGAAUUUUAAAGCUGAUUCCUUAUAGAGUGGUUCACAUCUGCUGAACUAAUGCAUAUGCAUUCUUUAUCUCCCUAGAGUGAUCUCUUUUGAGCUGUUAAAUAACUUUAAAUUUUACCUACCAGUUAUUUGAGAUAUUGAUUGGAAUAUAAAACUUUUUAAAAUAAGCUUUACCCAGCAGUUAUCUGUAGUGACUGAUUUAGAAAGAUUCCAUGUGUUCUUUGCCCUAAUGUGAAUGAAAGCUGGUCAUCUCAAAUACAUUUUAACUAUAACAGUGGUAGUCAUAUUUCCUUUUGAUAACCUGUACAACUAGAUAGAUUUUACCGUGUGUUGAGGUUAAAUAAUUAGCCUGUUUUCCUAUAUGAACUUCUUUAAUUGUCUCGUUUAUUUCUGCCAAAAGUAGUCAUCAUUCUUAGCUCUCUUCAGUGGCCAGCAGCUUAAAUCUAUUUUACUUGUAAGUUUAUUUCUGGCUGAUUGUUCUUUUGCUCUGUCUCUUCAUUUAAUAAAAUACUUUUUUAGCAGACAGUAGAGACAUUGUACCAUUAUUUUUCUUAUGUGAAGCAUCAUAAUGACCCUUCUUCAUUACGAAGUACGUACAAGUUGAUACAUAUCAGGGACUAAGGAUGUUUCAGGAGGAUGUACUGUGAAUUGCAGUGAGGAGCUU